GACGAGCGCUGGCGGCGUGCUUAACACAUGCAAGUCGAACGGAAAGGCCCUGCUUUUGUGGGGUGCUCGAGUGGCGAACGGGUGAGUAACACGUGAGUAACCUGCCCUUGACUUUGGGAUAACUUCAGGAAACUGGGGCUAAUACCGGAUAGGAGCUCCUGCUGCAUGGUGGGGGUUGGAAAGUUUCGGCGGUUGGGGAUGGACUCGCGGCUUAUCAGCCUGUUGGUGGGGUAGUGGCUUACCAAGGCUUUGACGGGUAGCCGGCCUGAGAGGGUGACCGGGCACAGUGGGACUGAGAAACGGGCCAGAAUACUACGGGAGGCAGCAGUGGGGAAUAUUGCACAAUGGGCGGAAGCCUGAUGCAGCAACGCCGGGUGCGGGAUGAAGGCCUUCGGGUUGUAAACCGCUUUCGCCUGUGACGAAGCGUGAGUGACGGUAAUGGGUAAAGAAGCACCGGCCAACUACGUG
This 468-nucleotide ribosomal RNA is filed under the name uncultured bacterium. Its description in RNAcentral is "partial 16S ribosomal RNA". It matches the Rfam family "Bacterial small subunit ribosomal RNA", at positions 28 to 507 of the family's 1533-position model. The record is from RNAcentral.